This 3278-nucleotide ribosomal RNA is filed under the name Capsicum chinense (habanero). RNAcentral's name for it is "eukaryotic LSU rRNA". The stretch from base 388 to 3187 matches the Rfam family "Eukaryotic large subunit ribosomal RNA". Lineage: Eukaryota; Viridiplantae; Streptophyta; Magnoliopsida; Solanales; Solanaceae. The record is from RNAcentral.
AUAACCCUCAGCAACAGAUAUCUCAGCUCUCGCAUCGAUGAAGAACGUAGCAAAAUAUGAUCCUUAGUGUGAAUUGUACAAUCUCAUGAACCAUGGAGUAUUUGAACGCAAGUUAUGCCCGAAGCUAUUAGGCCAAGGGCACGUCUGCCUGGGCAUCACGCAUUGCAUCUCCCCCUCGCAUUGUGCCUCAAUGACGGGGUUUAUUGUUGUCUUGGGGCGGAUCCUGGCCUCUCGUGAACCUCGAGCUCGUGGCUGGCCUAAAUGCGAGUCCACAUUGAUGGACAUCACAGAAAGUGGUGGUUGUAUCUCAACUCUCUUUGUUGUCGCGGCAAUAGCCCGUCGUGCGUUCGGACUCCAUGAAACUUUCGAGCUUAGGCACUCCGAAUGCGACCCCAGGUCAGGCGGGAUUAUCCGCUGUGUUUAAGCAUAUCAAUAAGCAAAGGAAAAUUAACUUACAAGGAUUCCAUUAGUAACAGCGAGUGAACCAGGAAUAGCCCAGCCUUAGAAUGAGGCGGCUCCAUCGUCCGAAUUGUAGUUUGGAGAAGCGUCCUCAGCGAAGGACCGGGCCCAAGUCCCCUAGAAGGGGGCACUAGAGAGAGUGAGAGCCCCAUUAUGCCCAGACCCUAUCGCACCACGAGGCACUAUCUACGAGUUGGGUUGUUUGCGAAUGCAACCCAAAUUGUGCAGUGAAUUCUGUCCAAGGCUAAAUACGGGCGAUAGACCGAUAGCGAACAAGUAUCACUAGGGAAAGAUGAAAAGGACUUUGAAAAGAGAGUCAAAGAAUGCUUGAAACUAUUGGGAGAAAAGUGGAUGUGGGCCGACGAUGCACCCCGAUCGGAUAUAGAAUGGCGACGAGUCGGUCUACCAAUCAACUUUGGGCAUGAACCAGCGUGGAUUAGGGGGCUUCCAAAGCCUGGGCUCUCGGUACGCUCGUGGAAUGCCAUCUCCUCGAUUAUGGCAGGCAGCACGUGCCUCCGGCGUGCUUUGACAUCUACAAACUAUGGACGCUUGCCUGUGGGCUCCCCAUUUGACCUGUCUUGAAAAAUAGACCAAGGAGUCUAACAUGUGCGCGAGUCAACAGGCGACUAAACCUGUAAGGCAUAAUGAAGCUGAUUGGUGGUAUCCUCCCAAGGGGUGCACCGCUGACCGACCUUUAUCUUCUGAGUAGGGUUCAAGUGUGAGCAUACAUGUUGGGACCCGAAAGAUGGUGAACUAUGCCUAAACGGGGCGAAGCCACGGAAAACUCUGGUGGAGGCCCGCAGCGAUACUGACAUGCAAAGCGUCCCUCUGACUUGGGUGUAGGGCCUGCAGCUGCUUUGUUGAGCUUUACCUCAAAAUCAAGAGCUCCAAAUGGGCCAUUUCUGGUAAGCAGAAUAGGAGAUGCGGGAUGAACCAAAAACCGGGUUACUGUGCCAAACUGUAUGCAAACCUAGAUCCCACAAAGGGUGUUAGUCAAUUAAGACAGCAGGACGGUGGUCAUGGAAGUCAAAAUCCACUAAGGAGUGUGUAACAACUCACCUUCCGAAUAAACUAGCCCCAAAAAUGGAUGACGCUUAAGCAUGCGACCUACACCCGGCCGUCGGGAAAAGUUCUGGGCCCGAUGAGUAGGAGGCCAUUGGUGCAGAUAUUGAUGGUAGUAGAAAAUAUUCAAAUGAGAACAUUGAAGGCCGAAGAGGGGAAAGAUUCCAUGUGAACGGCACUUGCACAUAGAUUAGUUGAUCCUAAGGGUCGGGUGAACCCCGACAGAUAGCGCAUUUUGCGCGUACUCUGAAAGGGAGUUAGGUUAAAAUUCCUGGACCGGGAUGAGGCGGUCUACGAUAAUGUUAGAAAGUCCAAAGACGUUGGCGAAAGCCUCGGGAAGAGUUAUCUUUUUUGUUUAACAGCCUGCCCGCCCUGGAAUCGACUCAACCGGAGGUAGGGUCCAGUGGCUGGAAGAGCACCGCAUGUCCCGUGGUGUCCGAUGCACUACCGGCGGCCCUUGAAAAUCCAGAGGACUGAAUUCCAUCCACGCCUGAUUGUACUCAUUACUACAUCAGGUCACCAAAGGGAACAACCUCUGGUCGAUGGAACAAUGUAGGCAAGGAAAGUAGGCAAAAGGGAUCCGUAACUUCUGGAGAUGGAUUGGCACUUAGGGUUGGGCACAAGGGACCCAGUCCUGAACCCAUUGGUUGUUGGUGGACUACUCGAGAAGCUCCUUUAGCGAGAGCGGGUAACCGCAUGCUGGUUGGGGGAUGAACUGGGAUCUGUUCCUUCGGGGGCCUUCUCUGCACGUCGAAUAGCCAACUCAGAACCGGUACGAACAAGGGGAAUCUAACUGUUUAAUUAAAACAAAGCAUUGCAAUAAUCCCAACAGAUGUUCACGCAUUGUGAUUUCUACCCAGUGCUCUGAAUGUCAAAGUGAAGAAAUUUAACUAAGCGUAGAUAAACGGCAGGAGUAACUAUGACUCUUUUAAGGUAGCCAAAUGCCUCAUCAUCUGAUUAGUGACGCGCAUAAAUGGAUGAAUGAUAUUUCGACUAUCCCUGUCUACUAUCCAGUGUAACCACAGCCAAGGGAACGGGCUUGCCAGAAUCAGCGGGGAAAAAAGACCCUCUUGAGCUUAACUAUACUCCGACUUUGUGAAAUAACUUGAGAGGUGUAGUAUAAGUGGGAGCCAAAAGGAGAAAGUGAAAUAACUCUACUACUUUUAAUGUUAUUCUACUUAUUCAGUGAUCGGAAGUGGGGCACUGCCCCCUUUUUUAGACCCAAGGCUCGCUCUGUGGGCCGAUCUGGGCAGAAUACAUUGUCAGGUGGGGAGUUUGGCUGGGGCGGCACAUCUGUUAAAAGAUAAUGCAGGUGUCCUAAGAUAAGCUCAACGAGAACAGAAAUAUCAUGUGGAACAGAAUGGUAAAAGCUCAUUUGAUUGUGAUUUCCAGUAUGAAUGUGAACCAUGAAAGCGUGGCCUAACGAUCCUUUAGGCCUUCAAAAUUUGAAGCUAGAGGUGUCAGAAAAGUGUUACCGCAGGAAUAACUGGCCUGUUACAACCAAGUGUUCAUAGCGACGAGGCUUUUUCAUCCUUCGAUGACUGCUCUUUCUAUCAAUGUGAAGUAGAAUUUACCAAGUGUUGGACUGUUCACCCACCAAUAGGGAACGUGAGAUGGGUUUAGACCGUAAUGAGAUAGGUUAGUUUUACCCUACUUAUAACAGUGUGAGUUUACCUCAACCUAGUUAGCCUCUUGUUUUUCAAGUGUCGCAUACGUUCCAUUCCAAAUAGUUAAGUACAUGAUAUCAAGUGGCCUUU